AGUGCGGCGUCGAGGCUGUAAAUCGGCGGACCUUGUUUGGUUCCUCCCACAAUGGGCGGGUUCCUUUGAACCACUGACCAAUAGUGAGCGAGACGGCAUGCACUAGCCCAAUGGAACUGCAGUGGGUGGGGCCUGGGGCAAGGGUUUGAGCCCUGGAGUUGGCGUUUCGGCCCACGUGGGAAGCUACGGGGUAGAUCCGGCUUGGAUGCCAAGUGCUGGAGAGAGACCUGCUGUGAAGAUGGGACCGGCCCCCGCCGGAGAGCAGCACCGACGAGCAACUGAGGACCCAGAGGUGAUGGAACUUGCCUUCGAAGGCAUGGACAAAGAGAAGGCACCCUCAAGAAAGCGUGCAAGAACAGAGCCACCUGCAGAAGGCCUCCUGCAGCCAGUGAACCUCAGUCGGGAGGAGCUGUACAAGGAGCCUACAAAUGAGGAGCUAAAUCGCCUCCGUGAGACCGAGAUCUUGUUCCACUCCACCUUGCUUCGUUUACAAGUGGAGGAGUUACUAAAGGAAGUCAGACUGUCAGAGAAGAAGAAAGAGAGGAUUGAUAAUUUCCUGAAGGAGGUUACCAAGCGGAUCCAGAAAGUGCCUCCAGUCCCUGAGGCUGAGCUCACUGACCAGUCAUGGCUCCCAGCUGGGGUCCGAGUGCCCCUCCACCAAGUGCCCUAUGCCGUGAAGGGCUCCUUCCGCUUCCGGCCUCCAUCCCAGAUCACUGUUGUGGGUAGCUACCUUCUGGAUACUUGUAUGCGACCAGAUAUCAAUGUGGACGUGGCAGUGACCAUGCCCAGGGAAAUCUUACAGGACAAAGACGGGCUGAACCAGCGUUACUUCCGCAAGCGAGCCCUUUACCUGGCCCACUUAGCUUACCACCUGGCCCAGGAUCCCCUCUUCAGCAGCGUACGCUUCUCUUACAUGAGUGGAUGCCACCUGAAGCCCUCGCUGCUGCUGCGGCCACAUGGGAAGGAUGAGCGCCUAGUUACUGUGCGCCUGCUUCCCUGCCCUCCCUUGGACUUCUUCCGUCCCUGCCGCUUGCUGCCAACUAAGAACAAUGUGCGCUCUGCCUGGUACCGAGGGCAGAGCUGUCCGGAUUACGAGCCGCCUACCCCCCACUAUAACACCUGGAUCCUGCAGGAUGUAGCUCUGGAGACCCACAUGCACUUGCUGGCAAGUGUGCUGGGCUCUGCCCAGGGCCUGAAGGAUGGCGUGGCACUUCUGAAGGUUUGGCUGAGGCAGCGGGAACUGGACAAGGGCCUGGGUGGAUUUAACGGAUUCAUCAUCUCCAUGCUGGUUGCCUUCCUGGUAUCUAAACGAAAGAUCCAUACCACCAUGAGCGGCUACCAGGUCCUGAGAAGUGUCCUGCAGUUUCUGGCCACUACCGAUCUGACAAUCAAUGGAAUCAGUUUCUCUCUCAGCUCAGAUCCCUCCUUGCCCACCCUGGCUGAAUUCCACCAGCUUUUCGCGGUUGUGUUUGUGGACCCAUCAGGCCGCCUCAACCUCUGUGCCGAUGUUACAGCUUCCACUUACAACCAGGUGCAGUACGAGGCAGAACUGUCUAUGGCGUUGCUGGACAGCAAAGCUGACGAUGGAUUUCAGCUGCUGUUGAUGACUCCCAAACCCAUGAUCCAGGCUUUUGACCACGUUGUCCAUCUCCAUCCACUGAGUCGCCUGCAGGCAUCCUGUCACCAGCUAAAGCUUUGGCCAGAGCUGCAGGAUAACGGAGGGGACUACGUUUCAGCCGCUCUGGGCCCACUAACCAACAUUUUGGUGCAGGGUCUGGGGUGCCGGCUGCAUCUGCUGGCUCACUCUCGGCCCCCAGUCCCAGAGUGGAGUAUCAACCAAGAUCCCCCGAAGCACAAGGACGCUGGGACCCUGACCCUGGGAUUUCUCUUCCGGCCCGAGGGACUGACCAGUGUUAUUGAUCUUGGCCCAGAGGCUGACAAGCCUGAGGCUGCUGAUUUCCGUCAGUUCUGGGGGACCCGCUCAGAGCUCAGGCGUUUCCAGGACGGAGCCAUCCGGGAAGCUGUGGUCUGGGAGGCAGAAUCUUUGUUUGAGAAGCGUCUUAUUCCUCAUCAGGUGGUCACCCACCUCUUAGCACUCCAUGCUGACAUCCCAGACACCUGUAUCCAGUAUGUGGGUGGCUUCCUUGAUGCAUUGAUCCAAAACCCCAAAGAGAUCUCCAGCACGGGUGAGGAGGCCUUGGCGUUGGCUGUGCGUUGCUAUGAUGACCUCAGCCGCCUGCUCUGGGGGCUGGAGGGUCUCCCACUUACUGUGUCUGCCGUUCAGGGGGCUCACCCAGUGCUGCGCUACACAGAGGUUUUCCCUCCAGCUCCAGUCCGUCCUGCCUACUCCUUCUAUAACCGCCUCCAAGAGCUGGCCUCACUGUUGCCCCGGCCGGAUAAGCCCUGCCCAGCCUAUGUGGAGCCUAUGACUGUGGUUUGUCACCUGGAGGGCAGCGGGCAGUGGCCUCAGGAUGCAGAAGCGGUGCAGCGGGUCCGAGCCGCCUUCCAGCUGCGCCUGGCGGAGGUGCUGACCCAGGAGCAUAGACUACAGUGCUGCGCCACUGCCACACACACGGAUGUCCUCAAGGAUGGGUUCGUGUUUAGGAUUCGAGUGGCCUAUCAGCGGGAGCCACAGAUCCUGAAAGAGGUGCGGAGCCCCGAGGGCAUGGUCUCCCUGAGAGACACACCUGCCUCCCUCCGCCUUGAGAGAGACACCAAGCUGUUGCCUCUGCUCACCAGUGCCCUGCAUGGGUCUCACUGCCAAGGCUUCCUCCCCCAGACUCCAGCAGCAGUACCCAGCCUACUCGGGGGUGGCUCGCCUGGCCAAGCGGUGGGUGCGUGCCCAGCUUCUGGGUGAGGGCUUCACUGACGAGAGCCUGGAUCUGCUGGCCGCUUCACUCUUCCUGCACCCUGAGCCCUUCACCCCUCCCAGCGUCCCACAGGUUGGCUUUCUUCGGUUCCUUUACUUGGUAUCUACCUUUGAUUGGAAGAACAACCCUCUCAUUGUCAACCUCAACGGUGAGCUGACUGCUGAGGAACAGGUGGGGAUUCGAAGUAGUUUCCUGGCAGCUCGAACACAACUCCCAGUCAUGGUCAUCAUUACCCCCCAGGACCGCAGAAGCUCUGUGUGGACACAGGAUGGACCCUCAGCCCAGAUCCUUCAGCAGCUCGUGAGCCUGGCGGCUGAAGCCCUCCCUAUCCUAGAGAAGCAGCUGAUGGAUCCCCGGGGGCCUGGGGACAUCAGGACCGUGUUCCGGCCACCCUUCGACAUGUAUGAUGUGCUGAUCCACCUGACUCCCCGCCACAUUCCCCGGCACCGCCAAGCUGUAGACCCUCCAGUUGCUUCCUUCUGCCGUGGUCUGCUCGCUGAGCCAGGGCCUUCGUCUCUGAUGCCUGUCCUGGGCUAUGACCCCCCUCAGCUCUAUCUGGCACAGCUCCGGGAGGCCUUUGAAGAUCUGGCUCUCUUCUUCUAUGACCAGCAUGGUGGAGAGGUGAUUGGUGUCCUCUGGAAGCCCAGCAGCUUCCAGCCCCAGCCCUUUAAGGCCUCCAGCAUAAAGGGACGCAUGGUGGUGUCUCAAGGUGGGGAGCUUGUGAUGUUGCCCAACAUAGAAGCAAUCUUGGAGGACUUUGCUGUGCUGGGUGAAGGCCUGGUACAGGCUGUAGAGGCCCGAAGUGAGAGGUGGACUGUGUGAUUCUCGCCUUGGGACAAGUGUUGGAUCUGUGCAGCAGCAGGUCAGCGGCAUAGCCACUCUCAGUGCAGAUGGACGCCUGAUGAACCACUGAAUCCCCCAUCCCCAGAGAAAGCCCCGUGAGAUUCUUCUGAUGUUUCAGCUCUGGGGCAGGGGCCAUGGUGUCCUGUGUCCCCUACACCUGACCACCCCAAUUCCCAGAGGAGGAGACAGAGCCAGCUCAGAGAGAACUGAAUCCACGAGAUCCAUUUGCCUAUCCAUCUUGAGUCAGCCUGAACUCUUGUUCAUUUUUGUUUUCUCUCCAUCUUCAUCUUCCCGCUGGCAGGACGGAUGUGUCCAGAUGUCAGCGUGCCUUUCCCUGUUGCUGCUUCUGGCCUUUAGAUUGUGGCCCUUCCUGGGGGUCAGGGCACCAGCACUGAGCAGUGGGAGGGAGCUGUGUGUGUAUGAAUGGAACCCAUUCAGUAGGCACAGUGCCCUGAGGGUAGGAACAGUGGGAAAAGAUACAGACCAGGCAGGGCUGGCUGGAGUUGAGGGGAUCCCGGUCCAAGAGAGAGAGAGCGCUGGGCGCUGCAGCCUGGCCUCUCUGGGUCCUGCCCCCUCCUUGCUGCUGCCUAUCAUUACCCAUUACUGUGCCAUACGCCUGCUCUUGGAACUCUGAGGUAGGCAGGAUGCUUCCUCUCAGCCUGAUCCACAUCCCCUUCUGGCAGCCACUCCCUGCUUUUCUCCCCUAAUCCUGACUGUUUUUUUUUUUAGACUCAGCUCAAAUAGCACCCCACCUAGUCCCUGCCCUCACCCCCACCCCUCUCUCCCUUCUGUGAACUGUGAAUGCGAUUAUUCCUUGUCGAGUUCACUUGGCAGGCAUGCAUACCAGUAUGCACCUUCUAUUGUCCUGAACUCUGAUUUAAAAUUAAAUUGCUUAAGUCUUUCUGGGUA
Molecule: RNA transcript, 4622 nt
Organism: Mus musculus (house mouse)
Lineage: Eukaryota; Metazoa; Chordata; Mammalia; Rodentia; Muridae
Gene: Nol6
Gene name: nucleolar protein family 6 (RNA-associated)
Exons: 26
Source: RefSeq, marked validated